RNAcentral lists this long non-coding RNA (8159 nucleotides) under Podarcis lilfordi (Lilford's wall lizard). Lineage: Eukaryota; Metazoa; Chordata; Lepidosauria; Squamata; Lacertidae. The record is from RNAcentral.
GCCCAGGGAAGGCAUGAAUAAUGGGAGAGAGACCCAGCUUGGACACAAAUUGCUAGGGAACGUUGUUGGACAGGAAAGCGGCUUGAAAGGUAAAUGGGGAUUUUUAUAUUGAAAUAUUAUGUUUUCAUUACGCUUGGACGGUGAACAAAAGCUCAUAUUUGAGUAAUAAAAUUAUAAAUGCCAGAGUGAGAACAGCUGUAGGAUCGUGAAGGGGUUUUUUUCCAUGCAGGGCAAGCCAGAAGUUAUGAUUAUCAUUUCUUUUAAUGUGUAUGACAGAGAGAGAAAGAGAGUGAGAGAGACCUUCAGCAGAGCAGGGAGUCUCUAUUGCUCAGCACUGGGAAGGCUUCUAAAAAGGCCAGGCUGAGAGAUUAAGAACUGCCACAACUGAUUAGGGCUAUCACCUUGGAAGCUCAACAGGUUGCUAGGGAAAGGUCCGUAGCUCAGGCGCAGAACGUCUGCCUUGAAUGAAGAAGGUUCCAGGUUCUAUCCCAGCAAUCUCCAGGUAGAGUUGGGAAUGUCUCCCUUCUGAAAUUUGGGGGAAGUUGCUGACAGCCAGUGUCUUGGCUCCCACCCAAACCACAAGAAUAAGGAAGAGAUCUUUACUGAGGCAGAGAAAAUUUACAGGCUCAGCAAUAGGUGAGGAGUCGCAGCAGCCACUACGCUCAGGGUAGGUGGCAGGAAAGAUGAGGCUAGAAACGGCUGUCUCCAUUUAAGGCAGCGGUUCUCAACCUGUGGGUCCCCAGAUGUUGUUGGACUACAACUCCCAUCAUCCCUGAGCUCUGGCCUUGCUAGCUAGGGGUGAUGGGAGUUGUAGUUCAACAACAUCUGGGGACCCACAGGUUGAGAAAGGCUGAUUUAAGGAGCCUGAGAUCAGGGCAAAGACUGAUUCAGAACGGCACGGAAGCGACAGAGAUGUCCCAACGAGUUGGGAUGCCUACCUUCCAAGCUUGUAAAGAUGUGGCAAGGCCAGCUCACUCCAGAGACUCUUGUGCCUUGUGAGAUUUUAGAGCAUGCAGGUGCUUGCUGUGUGCAACAGCUAUGCCUCUUGCCUUUUGUACAGUAGCCACGGAACUGUCAGAAUCAUAGAAUAGUAGAGUUGGAAAGUUCACCUAGUUCCAUAGCUGUCAAGUGUCCCUUAUUUGGCGGGACAGUCCCUUAUCCCAGUGCCAUGUCCCGCUGCUGUCCCUUAUUGAUGAGGCUUCAUUUGGCUGCUGGCUGGGCUUUCUGCCUUUGGCUCAGAGGGGCUCAGAAGUUGAACAUACCUGUGCCCGGAAAAUCCCUUAUUUUGGCUGCUGAUCCCUUAUUUUCAAGGCUGCUGGUCCCUUAUUUUCAAAUCUGUAAGUUGACAGCUAUGUCUAGUUCCACCCCCUGCAAUGUAAGAAUCACAGCUCGACAAUCCCUGGCAGAUGAACAUCCAACCUCUGCUUCAAAACCUCCAUCAUCAUCAUCAUUUUUAAUUUGUAUACCGUCUUUCUAUCUUACAAUACUCAAGGUGGUUCACAAGCUGAAGAAACAAAAAAUGUACAUCUUAUAAAAAUCUACAGUCCUACCUCGUGUUACAGACGCUUCAGGCUGCAUUUUUUUGGGUUGCGGACCGCCGAAACCCAGAAGUACCGGAACGUGUUACUUCCAGGUUUCGGCGGUCGCACAUGCGCAGAAGCGCUAAAUCACGCUUUGCACAUGCGCAGAAGCACCGAAUUGCAACCUGCGCGUGUGCAGAUGCGCCGCUGCAGAUUGCGAACGUGCAUUCCGCACUGAUCACGUUUGCAACCCGAGCGUCCACUGUACUGCAAUACAAAAAUGUGAUAAUAAAACAAAACUUUAAAAUAAGCAACCUACAUCAAAAAUUAACAUUCAACAAUCAUUAGAAUAGUAUAAAAUAAUAAUAUCAACAUCUAAAAGUUAAAGAGAAAUCCACUCAGCAGUUCCAAUAAAUAAUUUCUAAACUAUAAUCAGCAAAACAACGGCAAGCCACAGUACAUAAAAUAAUACAAUACAAAUUGAGAAGCAGAGACUAGAGGUGGAAGAAGGCCUUGCCUGACAAUGUCUCUCCCCUCCCCUCCAUGACCUAAGAAAGUCCAUUCCACUCUUGACCAACUUACCAUUAGAAAGUUCUUCCUGAUGUUUCAUGGGAAUCUCCUUUCUUGCAAUUAGGUUCUAUCAUCUUGAGCGAGUGGAAGACACACAUUUGCAAUCUUAGUGAGACCAGGAUCUUCACAACUAGAUGCUCUUAAGCAAAAAAUGGGUUCAUAAGAUGAAACCAGCUGCUGGAUCAAACCAAAGCCUGUGGUGUUGAGCAUCUUGUUCUCAUUAUUGGCCAACCAGAUGCCCCAAUGGGAAACGCACAUGCAGGACAUGAGCACAACAGCUUAGGGUCCUUGUAUUUAUGGGAUCACCUCUCCUGGUAUGCCCCACAGAGGACCUUAAGGUCCAUGAAUAACCAUAGUUUAGAGGUCCUGGGCCCUAAGAAAGUCAGACUAUCCUCCACCAGGGCCAGGGCCUUUUCAGUGAUGGCUCCGACCUGGUGGAAUGCUCUGUCCCAUGAGACCAGGGCCCUGCAGGAUUUAACCUCUUCCGUCGGGCCUGUAAGACAGAGCUAUUCCACCUGGCCUCUAAUUUGAAUUUAGCCUGAUCUUUUAUUUCUCUUCUCUUCCCUCCCCCUCCCCUUUUAUGAAGAUCACCCACUCUGAGACCCCACAGCUAAUUCUCCCCUGGCCUCCUCGCUGGCCCAAGUAGGACCAAUUCAGCCAGCUAGCCCUGGGGAUUAUCUAAUUGAUUUUUUAUUUUUGAAUUUUAUUGUUAUUCAUGUUUUUAUACUGUAUUUUAUACUGCUUUUAUAAUUAAGUGUUUUAAAUUUGUUGUUAGCUGCCCUGAGCCCGGUUUUUGAACUGGGAAGGGCGGGGUAUAAAUUAAAACAUACAUUUAUUUAUUUAUUUAUUUAUUUAUUUUAUUUACAGCGCUCUCCCCACUUGUGAUUUCCAGCAACAGGUAUUCAGAAGCAUAGUGUCUCCAACAGUGAAGGUAAAGGUAAAGGGACCCCUGACCAUUUAGGUCCAGUCGCGAACGACUCUGGGGUUGCGGUGCUCAUCUCGCUUUAUUGGCCGAGGGAGCUGGCGAACAGCUUCCGGGUCAUGUGGCCAGCAUGACUAAGCCAUUUCUGGCGAACCAGAGCAGCGCACGGAAACGCCGUUUACCUUCCCGCCGGAGCAGUACCUAUUUAUCUACUUGCACUUUGACGUGUUUUCGAACUGCUAGGUUGGCAGGAGCAGGAACUGAGGAAUGGGAGCUCACCCCAUCACGGGGAUUAGAACUGCCAACCUUCUGAUCAGCAAGCCCUAGGCUCUGUGGUUUAACCCACAGCGUCACCCACGUCCCAACAGUGGAGGUAGAACAUAGCUAUUGUAGGGCUAUUGACUGCUAUGGGCCAUCACAACUACUCAAUGAAACUUCAAGUGAAAUCUCAGCUCCAUGAGAAUUCGCUUAUUGAAUCAGACCGAAAUUUCACCUGGUUCAGAAUCAAGCUUCUCCUUCAGGAAACCCAUGAGCCACCAUGAAGAAUUUCUUUCUCUUUUUUUGGCACUACUUCCAUGGAAUACAUUCAAGGCUGAGUUCCUGAGAGUCCUUGGCCUCUCUGACAUUUUUUCCACCUUCGAAGGCAUGGGAAUGCCAUUGUGAUGAUGUCGCACCAAGUCCACAUGGAGAGGUGAGCUCACUGAGGUGACUCAACGGCUACGAAUUUUGCAACAGGAACCUUGCGAGGAAAGGGCUCUCGGAGGUCAGGAGCCAGCAGCAGUUUAAGGUGGGUUGGAAGCCACCCUGAUUCUUGGCUCAUGCGCAAAGCCGGUGGCCAUCUGGGGCAGUGGAAAGUGGCCUGCAGCGCAUAGGCAGAGGUGAUGAGAAGAGCAAGAGUCUUGAAGGUGGGAGCAACAAAUUCUUAAGGAGGUCUAAACAAUGGGGUGGCUGUUCUCUGAGUCCACCCGCAACAUGCUUUGCAUCCAGUGCCGGAUUUACAUAUAAGCUCAUGGGUGGUGCUGUGGGUUAAACCACAGAGCCUGGGACUUGCCGAUCAGAAGAUCGGUGGUUCAAAUCCCCGCGACAGGGUGAGCUCCUGUUGCUCAGUCCCUGCUCCUGCCAACCUAGCAAUUCGAAAGCAUGUCAAAAUGGCCUUGUUUGCAUCCUGCCCACAGAACAAAAAAAAUGUAAAUGAGAUGGGAGAGUAAGAGAGCACCACAUUGAAUCUUUGAUUUGCUUUGGAGCCGAGGUUUUAGACCUCAGAAGGUGGUGGAUGAUUGGAGGUUUUUAAGCAGAGGUUGGGUCUCCACCUGAAAGGAUUUCUUCAGUUGCGAUUCCUGCAUUACAGGGGUUUGGACUAGACCAGGCACCCUCAAACUCGGCCCUCCAGCUGUUUUGGAACUACAACUCCCAUCAUCCCUAGCUAACAGGACCAGUGGUCAGGGAUGAUGGGAAUUGUAGUCCCAAAACACCUGGAGGGACAAGUUUGGGGGUGCCUGGACGAUACGUCACUUGGGAUCCCUUCCAACUCUUCAUUUCUGUGAUUCAAGGCUGUGUUUAAUUUUUUCUAAUCAGUUCAGUGGUUUUGAAUUGAUUCAAUUGAUUCUGGAGAUAAAAUGCUUGGCUGGUAGGUAGGCAGGAAUGGGCAUGAAGUUCAUCCAGACAAGGUGGCUCCUCUCAGCGGCCUAUGCAAGUCCCUCUGCUUCCCUCCAGUCUGGUUCCUAGAAAGUUUUUCUGGCUCUUUGACCCUGGGACUCUUGAGUCAACUAGACUCAGGAAUGAACUUCAAGGGCUUGUUAAACCCAACCACAGACCAAGGUGAGCUUGAUCCAGACCCCGUCCUUUCUUGGAUUUUGUUCAGUGCUAGCAGGUUCAUAAUUCCCUAGGCAGAAGUCUGAAAGGUGUUCCAGGACAUAUUCUGAGAGAGGAGAUCCUAGCUUCUUUUGGGGGCGGAAAGAAAAAGGAGAUGGAGUAGCAACAUUUGCAGGCCCUUUAGAGCAUGGGUAGGCAAACUAAGGCCCGGGGACCGGAUCUGGCCCAAUCGCCUUCUAAAUCCAGCCUGUGGAUGGUCUGGGAAUCAGCAUGUUUUUACAUGAGUAGAAAAAGGGAAAGAACGAAAAACAACACCAAAAAAAGAAUAGGGGGAAAGGAAAAAAGGAAAAAAGAAAUUGACUUCCGACUAACUCCGUGUGGAUCUUUAUUCCUCAUAUCACUGGUUGUCUGUAAUUAUUAAAUUUUUGGAGAAUUAUUCAUACAUGGCUUAUCUUAGAAUAAAAAUAUCACAGGUAAAUAAAAUAAUUCUCCCCCUCCUAAUUUAAUCCCUGCAAUCCCUAAUUUAAUCCCUUAGUCUGAGAGGCAGUGACCGUCCCAAAAUCACUCAGUGAGAUGAUGAUGAUGAUUUGAAUUUAUAUACCGCCCUAUACCCAGAGGCCUCAGGGCGGUUCACAUAAAAAGAUCACAAUAUACAAAAUAAAAAUUAUUAUUAUUAUUCUUUCUUCAUCAUUUCAGCUUCAUGGCUGAGCGGGGAUUUGAACCCUGGUUUCCCAGGUCAGCGUUUCCGUGAGCUGCUCUGGUUUGCCAGAAGCGGCUUCAUCAUGCUGGCCACAUGACCCGGAAGCUGUACGCCGGCUUCCUCGGCCAAUAAAGCGAGAUGAGCGCCGCAACCCCAGAGUCGGUCAGGGGUCCUUUUACCUUUUACCUUCCCAGGUUGCAGUCGAGCAUGCUAACUGCUACAUCACACAGGCUCUCUGAGUGGAUCAGAGGGAACGAUGUUAAUAAACCCAUGCCAAAGUUAUGUCGCUUGCCAUAGCCUGAGAAGUCUUGGGCAGCCGUGCUGAUGAACACACAGAGGAUGAGGCUAGCAAGCCCUGGGGUGUGUAUGAAGCUAGGAGCUCAGCUCAAACCUUCUGACGCCCUCAGAGUCUGGUCGAAAAUCAGGCGUAGCUUCCAAGACUAAUAGUUACAAGUUGCUCACAUACCGUUUGCUGGGCCGGCUCACUCCAUUGGCUGCCGACCACACUGUACAUUUUAUACAGCUGUGCUCCCGAGGGUCACCAAAGGCUAACAGGUGGUGAUGGAUGGCGUCUGCCAGAUUGCGCAUAACCCCUCCGAGGUGAACUCAGCAUCCUUUCGGGAGGGGAUCUCUGCCACCCUGAGAGUUUAAUAUCGACGCAAACGGCACUCGAGGGAGACGCAUGUUUAUGUGCUCUGUCCAAACACCGUGUGAAUCUGGGACGCCACCAAGAAGCCCCGGGAGCUGUUCUCCCUGGGUGAAUUUCACGCCAAGGAAGCGUUGCAUGAAGGCUUUGAGUGGGAUUUCAAUUGCGCAUAAAGGUUUCUGCACAACGAAGCUACAGAUUCAGCUCUCGGCCUCAGCUACUGCCAUGCUCUCUUUGGAAAAUAGCAAGACUUGCCUCAAAGGGUGUUCUGGUGUGCAUCCCAGAGGUUUUAAGCUUGUCUGACAAGGCGCCACCCCAGUGAUUCGACCACCAUAUUAGUACCUACAAGGAGCAUGGGCCUUUUAGUUGUAGGUCAAGAGCUCAUGAAUGCCUGUCCUUGAGCUACUCCAGGGCCAGAUUUAGGUUUGAUGAGGCCCUAAGCUACUGAAGGAAAUGGGGCCCUUUAUAUGUCCAGCUGUCCUUUGUCAACAACAAAUUGUCAUUGCUUUUUGUGUUGAAUAUAUGCUAUACGGUAAUUUAUGGACCUCAUAGGUAUCUCAAGCCAUUUGCACAUAACAAAAUAUGUAUUUUAUCAAAGUAAUUGUUGAACUGAAAUAAAAUUAAGAAGUAUAAUUAAUAAUUAUUGAUAUACUUUUAUUAAGCUCUAACUUAAAAUGAUUUUUUUAUUCAUAACGAACUUAAUGCAAACACAUUGGCAUUUGGCAAUAGCAAAAGUUCCUUUAGAAAUAUAAGUUACAAAGACUCAUAAUCUAGUCUCUAGGAACUUGCUAUAAUAUGAAAUAAUAAUAGAUGUAAAUAUAUGAUGCACACUACUAAUAACUACAAACAGCAGAAUGUAGGCACCCUAUAUAUAGAAAUGAGCAAACCACUGAUAUUUGAGGGAGCAGGCUAGCAGGUGGGGCCCAUGGCUUACAUCACAGGAGCCUACACAACACAAAACACUGUUGCUGUAUGCAGGUUUUAUUUUAUUUGUUUUGUAUCUUAUAUUUUGUAAAUGUACAUCCGGGGGUUUUCCCCCUUAAUUUCUUUUAGAGGGGCCAAGAUAGUGGGGCCCUAAGCUAUAGCUUGCUUAGCUUAUACAUAAAUCUGGCUCUGAGCUAUUCAGUUGCUCCCUCUGCCCCUAAUAUCAUCUCAUAUCUUAAUGAUGUCGUUCCACAAAUAAGUGAGAAAUUAUUUCAGAAGAUCGUUUCUGUGGAUUCUCUUACACACAAGCUAACAUAAAAAAAUGGCGCAACACAGUAUUUCCAAACUUUUUUCUCACUGUCCUCAAACUUUGUUUUAAACUGUCGCUCCCGCCCCUCAGUGCCACCCACUGCUUACUUUAUUCAAACCUCUACUUUACUCAAAUUUCUGUUGUUUAAAACCACCAUUUCCCUCUGUGUCUCUCCAUCCCUGCUUUACUCAAACAUCUGCUGUUUAAAACAUCUACUUUUUUCCUCUCAGUGUUUCUCCCUUCUCAGUCUACUCAAACACCUCCCAUUCCUCGGCUGCCUCAUGUGAGAGAGACAAAGGAUGCAGAGCUCUCAGAUAUUCCCUUGUGUGAAGGUACUCGCUCAAACCUCUGCGUUGUUUAAAACUGCCAUUUUCCUCUCAGUUCAAUCACUGCUUUGGUCAAACUUCUGCCAUGGUUUUUCGUUCUUUUUUUCAGUUGACAGAUUUGUGGCCGCACCGAAACCACGUUCCACUAAAGGUGAUGAAGGAAAUGCAAUUAAAAACCCCACAAUCCAGAAUAAAGUGCAGGUAUCUGCUUUUGCCGCCAGAACUGUUGGUAGCCAUCUUUGAAUUGAAAUUUCGAUUCUUCGUUUGUUGCUAAUUCUAUCAAAAUGGGUUCACCCAAUUCCAGGAAAAACUCUCCUCUCCAGCACAACCACCGGAUCCAGGGGAGACAUUGCCUUUUUUAAAAAGUGCUUUAUUAAGGUUAAAAAAAAAGUAACAAACAUAAGAAUUAAUAAAGAAAAAUAAAUGAAA